GCCGGGCGUUGUGGUGGGCACCUGUAGUCCCAGCUACUUGGGAGGCUGAGGUAGGAGACUCGCUUGAGCCCAGGAGUUGGAGGUUGCUGUGAGCUGUGAUGCCAUGGCACUCUACCCAGGGGGAUAGCUUGAGGCUCCGUCUAAAACAAACAAACAAACAAACAAAAAACAACUUUCUUUCAAGUGGAAGGUGUAAUGGGAAAACAGAGGGAGGGCCAUCUAAUUCAGAGUAACGAACAGAGACUUCAAAUAGAAGUUUGAAACUUUUUUUUUUUUUUUGAGACAGAGCCUCAAGCUGUCCCCCUGGGUAGAGUGCCGUGGCAUUACAGCUCACAGCAACCUCCAACUCCUGGGCUCAAGCGAGUCUCCUGCCUCAG
RNAcentral lists this signal recognition particle RNA (377 nucleotides) under Otolemur garnettii (small-eared galago). RNAcentral's name for it is "Metazoan signal recognition particle RNA". It matches the Rfam family "Metazoan signal recognition particle RNA". Rfam says of the family: The signal recognition particle (SRP) is a universally conserved ribonucleoprotein. It is involved in the co-translational targeting of proteins to membranes. Lineage: Eukaryota; Metazoa; Chordata; Mammalia; Primates; Galagidae. The record is from Rfam by way of RNAcentral.